RNAcentral lists this long non-coding RNA (661 nucleotides) under Mus caroli (Ryukyu mouse). RNAcentral's name for it is "lncRNA (MGP_CAROLIEiJ_G0003557.1)". Lineage: Eukaryota; Metazoa; Chordata; Mammalia; Rodentia; Muridae. The record is from RNAcentral.
GUUCGGCCUGGCCGCGCCUCUCGUCGGCCUCCGGGCCUUCGCCCUGGGGGCACAGCCCGCAACGCACCUCGGCCUUCCCUGCACGCGCUGGGCUGCUCCCCGCUCCCCGCCUUCUUCCGGGCUCCGAGAGCAACGCAGGGAAGAUGCUUCUAGGCGUCUGGGGAGCAACUGGGAUCUCAAGGUCUUGCUAACGUGUCCACUGCGGCUGCUCGCGGGAAAGCAACGGAAGUUGGAGAGACUUUGCAACAGCUGCAAGAGUUUCAGUCCCGGGCAGAGAGCGACCACCGGGGCGAGGCAAAGUCCCGCGGCCGGCGUGCGCCCGACCCACGGGACCCCAAGGCCUCGCUGCUCCCGGGGCGGGCCCCACCUGGCCAAGAGCGCGCGGACGUGGGCUGCAGCCGCCCGCCUCGCCUCACCUUUCGUCAGCGUGUCCAGCACCCCCGACUUCUCCAAGUACCUCCGGAACUGCUCGCGCUUCGAGUCGGCGGCCUGAGGAGACACGGCGGGUCAGGGACCGGAGCCCGGGGCCGGAGCAGGAAGACGGCGCGCCCCGCCGCCGGCCCCAAGCCCUGCACGCGCCCCAACUCCCACCCGGCGCCGCCCGCACGCCCCGAGCCACGCCGCGCCCCCCUCACUUUGUAAUGGGCCAUAGUGACAGCCA